GAUGAACGCUGGCGGCGUGCUUAACACAUGCCAGUCGAGCGAGAAGUUUUGAAAAGAUUCUUCGGAUGAAAUUUAAAAUGGAAAGCGGCGGACGGGUGAGUAACGCGUAGGCAACCUGCCCCAUACAAAGGGAUAGCAUUUGGAAACGAAUAUUAAUACCUUAUGAAACUUAACUAGUGCAUGCUAGGUAGGUCAAAGAUUUAUCGGUAUGGGAUGGGCCUGCGUCUGAUUAGCUAGUUGGUGAGGUAACGGCUCACCAAGGCGACGAUCAGUAGCCGACCUGAGAGGGUGAACGGCCACAUUGGAACUGAGACACGGUCCAAACUCCUACAGGAGGCAGCAGUGGGGAAUAUUGCACAAUGGGGGAAACCCUGAUGCAGCAACGCCGCGUGAACGAUGAAGGCCUUUGGGUCGUAAAGUUCUGUUCUAGGUGAUGAAAACUGACAGUAACCGAGGAGAAAGCCCCGGCUAACUCCGUG
RNAcentral lists this ribosomal RNA (479 nucleotides) under uncultured bacterium. Its description in RNAcentral is "partial 16S ribosomal RNA". It matches the Rfam family "Bacterial small subunit ribosomal RNA", at positions 28 to 507 of the family's 1533-position model. The record is from RNAcentral.